UACGUGAGGGGCGAACGUUGUACGGUGUCACUGGGCUUAAAGGGUGCGUAGGUGGUUGCGUAAGUAAGGUGUGAAAUCCCUCGGCUUACCCGGGGAAUUGCAUUUUAUACUGCGUGGCUUGAGGACUAAAGGGGAAAAGGGAACUCCAGGUGUAGCGGUGAAAUGCGCAGAUAUCUGGGGGAAGGCCGGCGGCGAAGGCGCUUUUCUGGUUAGUACCUGACACUGAGGCACGAAAGCGUGGGGAGCAAACAGG
Molecule: ribosomal RNA, 253 nt
Filed under: uncultured bacterium
Lineage: Bacteria
Description: partial 16S ribosomal RNA
Rfam family: Bacterial small subunit ribosomal RNA
Source: RNAcentral